CUGCCGGAGUUCAACUGACUCUUUCCCAAGAGGCGCUCCUUGGCCGCCCCCCCCGCCAGUGAGGAACUGCGGAGGGUGCACGC
Molecule: small RNA, 83 nt
Filed under: Alexandrium tamarense
Lineage: Eukaryota; Dinophyceae; Gonyaulacales; Pyrocystaceae
Description: partial Betaproteobacteria transfer-messenger RNA
Source: RNAcentral